Molecule: ribosomal RNA, 689 nt
Filed under: uncultured bacterium
Lineage: Bacteria
Description: bacterial SSU rRNA
Rfam family: Bacterial small subunit ribosomal RNA
Source: RNAcentral
AGGGUUUGAUCAUGGCUCAGAACGUACGCUGGCGGCACGCCUAAUACAUGCAAGUCGAACGAAGUAGCAAUACUUAGUGGCAGACGGGUGAGUAACAUGUAGGUAUCUGCCCUUUGGCCUGGAAUAACACGAGGAAACUUGUGCUAAUACCGGAUAAGUCUUUACGGAGAAAGCUUUAUGCACCAUUGGAUGAGCCUGCACUUGAUUAGUUUGUUGGUGGGGUAAUGGCCUACCAAGACAAUGAUCAAUAGCUGAUUUGAGAGGAUGAUCAGCCACAUUGGGACUGAGACACGGCCCAAACUCCUACGGGAGGCAGCAGUAGGGAAUCUUGCACAAUGGAGGAAACUCUGAUGCAGCGAUGCCGCGUGAGUGAAGAAGGCCUUUGGGUUGUAAAGCUCUUUCGUCGGGGAAGAAAAUGACUGUACCCGAAUAAGAAGGUCCGGCUAACUUCGUGCCAGCAGCCGCGGUAAUACGAAGGGACCUAGCGUAGUUCGGAAUUACUGGGCUUAAAGAGUUCGUAGGUGGUUAAAAAAGUUGGUGGUGAAAUCCCAGAGCUUAACUCUGGAACUGCCAUCAAAACUUUUUAGCUAGAGUAUGAUAGAGGAAAGCAGAAUUUCUAGUGUAGAGGUGAAAUUCGUAGAUAUUAGAAAGAAUACCGAUUGCGAAGGCAGCUUUCUGGAUCAUUACUG